UACGUAGGUCCCGAGCGUUAUCCGGAUUUACUGGGCGUAAAGCGUGUUCAGGCGGUCUAGCAAGUCGGGCAUGAAAUCUCUCGGCUCAACCGGGAGGGGUUGUCCGAUACUGCUGGGCUUGAGGGCAGCAGAGGGUGGUGGAAUUCCGGGUGUAGUGGUGAAAUGCGUAGAUAUCCGGAGGAACACCAGUGGCGAAGGCGGCCACCUGGGCUGUACCUGACGCUCAAACACGAAAGCUAGGGGAGCGAACGGG
RNAcentral lists this ribosomal RNA (253 nucleotides) under uncultured bacterium. RNAcentral describes it as "partial 16S ribosomal RNA". It matches the Rfam family "Bacterial small subunit ribosomal RNA", at positions 524 to 776 of the family's 1533-position model. The record is from RNAcentral.